GGUGCUUUUUCCUGCGGUGGAGAAAUUACUCAAGAAGGAAAAAUAGAAACCCCUGGCUACCCAUCUAGAACUCCUAAUGAAAGCUGCACAUGGCAAAUAAAGGCACCAGCAGGUCGACGAGUACGUGUGACGUUCGAAGACUUCAGUUUUCGGCAAAGAAUGGAUAAGCCUUCUAGCCCGUAUAAUGGAAAAUGUGUUUACGAGCAAGUGGAAAUUAGAAUUACCAACAUGGACGAAGGACAGAUCUAUUGUGGUGAAGAUAUUCAGAAAGGAACAAUAAUGGAAUCAUCCUCCAACACAUUUCUCAUUAUUAUCCGAGCAGACACAAAGGCACAAGGAAGGGGUCUCAAAGCAUCCGUCAGAUUCGUCAAAUAAUUUAUUUUGAAUUUUUUGUAAUGUUUUUGUACUUUCAUAAUAAAAUUAUUUUGUAUUUUUA
Stegodyphus dumicola is the source of this 436-nucleotide long non-coding RNA. NCBI's taxonomy places the organism in Eukaryota, Metazoa, Arthropoda, Arachnida, Araneae, Eresidae. The record is from RefSeq and is a predicted model, not a curated record.